GUGGGGAAUCUUCCGCAAUGGACGAAAGUCUGACGGAGCAACGCCGCGUGAGUGAAGAAGGUUUUCGGAUCGUAAAGCUCUUUCGUUAGGGACGAACGUGCUCUUUGUGAAUAAUGAGGAGUAAUGACGGUACCUAAAUAAGAAGCCACGGCUAACUACGUGCCAGCAGCCGCGGUAAUACGUAGGGGGCAAGCGUUGUCCGGAAUUAUUGGGCGUAAAGCGCGCGCAGGCGGGAUAUCAAGUCUGUCUUAAAAGUGCGAGGCUCAACCUCGUGAGGGGACAGAAACUGGUAUUCUUGAGUGUCGGAGAGGAAAGUGGAAUUCCAAGUGUAGCGGUGAAAUGCGUAGAGAUUUGGAAGAACACCAGUGGCGAAGGCGACUUUCUGGACGAUGUCUGACGCUGAGGCGCGAAAGCUAGGGGAGCGAACGGGAUUAGAAACCCGUGUAGUCC
This 450-nucleotide ribosomal RNA is filed under the name uncultured bacterium. Its description in RNAcentral is "partial 16S ribosomal RNA". It matches the Rfam family "Bacterial small subunit ribosomal RNA", at positions 354 to 796 of the family's 1533-position model. The record is from RNAcentral.